This 497-nucleotide ribosomal RNA is filed under the name uncultured bacterium. RNAcentral's name for it is "bacterial SSU rRNA". It matches the Rfam family "Bacterial small subunit ribosomal RNA", at positions 15 to 507 of the family's 1533-position model. The record is from RNAcentral.
GAUCCUGGCUCAGAUUGAACGCUGGCGGAAUGCUUUACACAUGCAAGUCGAACGGCAGCACGGACUUCGGUCUGGUGGCGAGUGGCGAACGGGUGAGUAAUAUAUCGGAACGUGCCCAGUCGUGGGGGAUAACGUAGUGAAAAUUACGCUAAUACCGCAUACGAUCUAAGGAUGAAAGCGGGGGGACCGUAAGGCCUCGCGCGAUUGGAGCGGCCGAUAUCAGAUUAGGUAGUUGGUGGGGUAAAGGCUCACCAAGCCAACGAUCUGUAGCUGGUCUGAGAGGACGACCAGCCACACUGGAACUGAGACACGGUCCAGACUCCUACGGGAGGCAGCAGUGGGGAAUUUUGGACAAUGGACGCAAGUCUGAUCCAGCCAUUCCGCGUGCAGGAUGAAGGCCUUCGGGUUGUAAAGCUCUUUUGUCAGGGAAGAAACACCGGCUCUAACACAGUCCGGGAAUGACGGUACCUGAAGAAUAAGCACCGGCUAACUACGUG